This 463-nucleotide ribosomal RNA is filed under the name uncultured bacterium. Its description in RNAcentral is "partial 16S ribosomal RNA". It matches the Rfam family "Bacterial small subunit ribosomal RNA", at positions 28 to 507 of the family's 1533-position model. The record is from RNAcentral.
GAUGAACGCUGACAGAAUGCUUAACACAUGCAAGUCUUUGGCGAAGCUGUGCUCGCACAGCCUAGCCAAGGCGGACGGGUGAGUAACGCGUAAGGAACUUGCCCUGCAGUCAGGGAUAACAGACGGAAACGACUGAUAAGACCUGGUAAAGUCAGGCGGACUCAUGUCCAGCCUGAUGAAAAGAGAUGCUGCAGGAGAGCCUUGCGUCCUAUUAGCUUGUUGGUGGGGUAACGGCCCACCAAGGCGAUGAUAGGUAGCCGGCCUGAGAGGGUGGACGGCCACAAGGGGACUGAGGUACGGCCCUUACUCCUACGGGAGGCGGCAGUGGGGAAUAUUGGACAAUGGGGGCAACCCUGAUCCAGCAAUUCUGUGUGCACGAUGAAGGUUUUCGGAUUGUAAAGUGCUUUCAGCAGGGAAGAAAAAAAUGACGGUACCUGCAGAAGAAGCGACGGCUAAAUACGUG